Podarcis lilfordi (Lilford's wall lizard) is the source of this 83-nucleotide non-coding RNA. Lineage: Eukaryota; Metazoa; Chordata; Lepidosauria; Squamata; Lacertidae. The record is from the annotation of a GenBank genome assembly.
CCUCAGGUGGGGCAAUGGAUCAGCGCAUCUGGCUGUUAAUCAGAAGGUUGGUUGUUCAAGGCCACCCUUUGGUUCCUUGAAGA